GACGAACGCUGGCGGCGUGCUUAACACAUGCAAGUCGAACGAAGAGCGAUGGAAGCUUGCUUCUCUCAAUCUUAGUGGCGAACGGGUGAGUAACGCGUAAUCAACCUGCCCUUCAGAGGGGGACAACAGUUGGAAACGACUGCUAAUACCGCAUACGAUCUAAUCUCGGCAUCGAGGAUAGAUGAAAGGUGGCCUCUACAUGUAAGCUAUCACUGAAGGAGGGGGUUGCGUCUGAUUAGCUAGUUGGGGGGGUAACGGCCCACCAAGGCGAUGAUCAGUAGCCGGUCGGAGAGGAUGAACGGCCACAUUGGGACUGAGACACGGCCCAGACGCCUACGGGAGGCAGCAGUGGGGAAUCUUCCGCAAUGGACGAAAGUCUGACGGAGCAACGCCGCGUGAGUGAUGACGGCCUUCGGGUUGGAAAGCUCUGUUAAUCGGGACGAAAGGCCUUCUUGCGAAUAGUGAGAAGGAUUGACGGUACCGGAAGAGAAAGCCACGGCUAACUACGUG
RNAcentral lists this ribosomal RNA (510 nucleotides) under uncultured bacterium. Its description in RNAcentral is "partial 16S ribosomal RNA". It matches the Rfam family "Bacterial small subunit ribosomal RNA", at positions 28 to 507 of the family's 1533-position model. The record is from RNAcentral.